Long non-coding RNA from Ornithorhynchus anatinus (platypus), 503 nucleotides. RefSeq lists it as uncharacterized. The record is from RefSeq and is a predicted model, not a curated record. The transcript has 2 exons. NCBI's taxonomy places the organism in Eukaryota, Metazoa, Chordata, Mammalia, Monotremata, Ornithorhynchidae.
GUCGAGGGUCAGGGAAGGACCCUGCUGAAAAUCUAGCUGAGCCAUGGGGCGCUGAGGGAGUAAAGCGGAUGCUGAGAAAUAAAUAAUUUUUUCCGUCCCAAGGAUUUGCCCCGCCCAGGAGUUUCGACUUCCAACAGGCCGGAGAAACAUCAUACGCUGCCUAAAGCGUCGUGCGGAAGCAACGGUGGAUGGGGUCAGGAGAAGCUGGGGGUAAUGCCGCUUAGGGACCAUGCUGCUUUAGAAUGUGACGGCUGUCACCGCAGAAAACGAAAGAGGAACCAAAUUUCCCGGCUUGAUUCACAUUCCUUCAGCUGGUUGAGAUCGGGUGCCGUCACCACGGUAGCAGUGGAAGAAACACAUUCUGUUUCCUGGAAGCCAAGAAGCAACGUUGUUUUUGUGUUUUUGCUCAGAUGAUGUUACUGUGGGCUAAUUCAUUUGCAAACUUCAAGCGUGUUUAAGGAUCCAUUUUCAGAGGGAAAAUAGAGUCAUUUUUUAAAGUGGUA